CCAGACUCCUACGGGAGGCAGCAGUGGGGGAUAUUGCACAAUGGGGGGAACCCUGAUGCAGCGACGCCGCGUGGGUGAAGGAGCGUUUCGGCGCGUAAAGCCCUAUCGGCAGGGAAGAAGGAGGACGGUACCUGACUAAGAAGCCCCGGCUAACUACGUGCCAGCAGCCGCGGUAAUACGUAGGGGGCAAGCGUUAUCCGGAUUUACUGGGUGUAAAGGGAGCGUAGACGGCAGAGCAAGUCUGAAGUGAAAGCCCGCGGCCCAACUGCGGGACUGCUUUGGAAACUGCCCGGCUAGGGUGCUGGAGAGGUAAGUGGAAUUCCUAGUGUAGCGGUGAAAUGCGUAGAUAUUAGGAGGAGCACCAGUGGCGAAGGCGGCUUACUGGACAGUAACUGACGUUGAGGCUCGAGAGCGUGGGGAGCAAACAGGAUUAGAUACCCCCGUAAC
This 447-nucleotide ribosomal RNA is filed under the name uncultured bacterium. RNAcentral describes it as "partial 16S ribosomal RNA". It matches the Rfam family "Bacterial small subunit ribosomal RNA", at positions 331 to 794 of the family's 1533-position model. The record is from RNAcentral.